GCUCCCGCGAGCCGACUUGCUUCCGCCGGGCUUUGAUCUCCUCCUCUUCCUCGUCGCGGGGUCUUUUUGUCCCCCUGUUGGGCUAAGCUGAUCAGAAUUGCAGAUCUGCCUACUAUACAUUCACCCGCUUGGAAAACUGGAAGGGGAAUUAAUUCAAUUCACAGAACUAGAUGAAUGGCACCGGCAGGAGCUGUGACAAUGUCCUACCUGCUUUGACCCUCCAACAACAACCACAGCAAAUAUCUGCAUCAUGAAAAAAGCCGCCGGUACUUCAAAUCUGAGCGCUGGCCAGAGCAACCCGACCCUGGGGUUGUGAAGCAAACUGAUUGCAAGUCCUUGGUUCCCAGAGGCGAUCUCUCAUGAGCCAAUUCCCAUGUACCUUCAUGUUUUACAGGUAAAGGCCAAUUCAUUAAAGUGUCCAGUGCUGCACACACACCCCACAGCUCUCCCGGCUCAGACCCAAUUCUUCUGUGUACCCUAAUACCACCCCCACAAAGACCAGGGGAGUCUGGGGACACAACGAAUGCAGAAUAGGCCCUGCAUCCGCACACCCAGCGCGGUACUGUUAUUCGGUGCAGCUCUGCAGAAGAUGGACCCCCCAUCCUAGGCAGAACAUGUGCACACUAGGGGUUGCUUGCGAUUGCUUGUUUUCAUCCACCGUUUGUAGUCACGAGGCAAAAUUAAAGAUUAAAGAUAACCUGCCAAGAACAAGAAAGAACAUGCGCUCCUUCCUCAUUUAAGGUGCAUCUGGAAAGCCCCAAAGGGCUUGUUGUUGGGACUUCUCGCCUUGGCAAAAAGAGAAAUAUUAAAAUGAAUCUCCCGUCUUUUGCAGGACAAGGAAAUGGGAAUAAAACCUCUCCACUUUAUGCUGAAGAACCGCAGCAGGUUCUGCUCCUAAUUGUUUUAACUGGUGUCCGGCAUUAACAAAAAAUGGCUUUUAAAGGGAAGCAAAAAUCCCUUCCCCGUCCAGCUGCUCUAGUGCAGGUUGCACGGACUAAGGAAACAAACACCCUGCGAGUUCGUCACUCAGCCACGAUCUUUCAUGCUGAGCGGAGGAGGAAAAGCCUAACGUUUUAUUAAACCACAGCAAGCUAACAUCUGCUCUCAAUGCCCCCCCACCCCCCGGUCUUCGUCAGCCAUCCAAAGGCACAGCGAGGAAGGCGCAGAUCUGCUUUGCAGGUCGUUAUCUGCCACCUCGAACGUCACAUGCCACUUCCAAGAACAUGGCAGCUGCUGCCGCGCUGCAAGCCCGACUCUUCUGGAAUCACAAAUCAUCAGCGGCGGAGAGGGAAGGGGCGAGAGCACUGCUCCUGCCAGGUCCCCAGAGCGCGCUGGCUUCAAAGCAGGCCCCUGCAGCUCCCCAGCCGGCGAGGAGCUCCAGCCCCCGGGGAGGGGACGCUCAUUCUUCCCGGCUCAGAAGGCAAGACCUGCUGAGACUCCGAUUAGAAGGAGCGCGCCACCACAGACCAGCUCAGAGGCAAAGCCAGGGAGCAGCUCAUUUCUUUUCAUUCGGUCCUGUAUAUACACCGUGACAGACAAGUCAGUGCGAGCGCGCCUGCCGACACAGCGCACACGUGGGCACUGGAGCAGGCCUGCGCAGGAGCCAGCUUUGCUUUUUAGAUGGACAUAAAAGCAGCCCAACUAGGGGCCGCUUUAGACUGCACUGGUUUAAACUAAACCGGUUUAAACUAAACCGGUUUAGUUUAAACCAGUGCAAACUGCACUGCUUGGAUGGGCUGCAAAAUCCGGGUUGGCAGAGCUUCAACGUGAGAGACGGCAGGACGGUGCUGGCAAGCGCUAAGCCCUGGUGUCCUGCCAGCUGUGUUCGGCACGCUACUCAACGCUAUAGUCCCCCGCCGCUCUGCCUGCAGCCAGCGUCGCCCCGCAGCCCACGGGCCGCGUGACACGCCAGGUUCAGAGCCGAGGUUCCCUCCGUCCCCAUCAGCAUGUCAACAGCUGCUGAAGUGACAAACACGUGUACGCCGCUGUAGACCAUUUUGGCAUCUGCAGGACUGGAUGCUAUUUAUUUUUUUAAUUUAAAAAGCAAAAAAACCAAAAAAGCAUGCCCUUACACGUCUUCAGGGCACGGUAACGGCUUACAGCGCCGCACGGAUCAACUUAGGAACAACAUAUUGUCUCCAGCAGACAGUAAUUUGAACACUCCCCUAGCAAUUAGCAACACUCAGCGUAAAACCAAAAUAAAGAUGCUCUUCUCGCUAACACCACCGCAGGGAGAAGCCGAGGUAAACAGAUGUGCCAAGCACAAGCCCUAAAUAGUCGCCCCCGGUGCUGUCCCACACAGAGGGAAGCAGACCGAUUCAACCGCCCCCUUCGCCCCCAGGUUAAAGGGCAGAGCACCUCCACUCAUUCACACCAGCCCGGCAAGUGAUUUCCAGGGAUCCUCUGAUUUUAAAAAAUCCCCAAUUUCUGGCUUUGAAAAAAAGGAAUGCCAAACCCGCAUUUUUCCAUGAUUAAAAUGAAACACUACUAUAUAGCUAGAUCAAUAUAUUAGUGGCGUUUCAUUUUAAUCAUGGAAAAAUGUGAAUUUGGGGUUACCUUUUUUAAAAAAAAUGAAAAUUGGGGAUUUUUUAAGUCAGAGAAAACCAGGAUCCCUGGUGAUUUCCAUUGGAAAUUGGGCCUGACUUCUAGAGCCCUGGAAGAGUUUGAGAAAAGACAGCUUUUGCUUCGUAUGCCCCCCUGUAUGUCUGACCCCAGACUUCAGGCUCUCAUUUCUCUGCGCCUCAUUUUUUUAAAUUAAAAAAGCAACGAGACUGUGGCUGCAAUGAUGGGCUACGGCAGCCCGCGCUUUGUCAGAUGCGAAGUAAUGUACCAUAGGAAGAAACCACCCCACCAGAACAAAUUCUAAAUUAAAACUCCACCAGGAAACCAACUCCAUUUCCUCUGAGCGUGCAAUCUAUAUUAUCAGCAUUUACAAUCUGCUUCAACCUCAAUUAUAUUAUCUUUUUUUGGGGGGAGGGAGGAGGGAAAUAGGAAUACAUCUAUAAUAUGUAAUAAGAGUCAUUAUGAUAAAUUAUGAAACCGCCUGGAGUGUAAUUAUUAAUGCUGCCAACGUAUUUGCAACAGCACAUAAUUGAAUUCCCAGACAAACUUUGUUAAACAGGAGUUAAGGUUUAGCACAGCAUCAGUUACUGAAGGGGGGCAACGUCUCGCUAAGCACACUGCGGUUAUAAAAGGAGCAAUAAUAAAAUCCAAGAAAUCCAGAGCUGAAGUAAAAUGCCUGGAGUUCUGCUCAUUUAAAAGUAUGAAGAUGCAGAGUUGCAGCAGAUUGAUUGAGAUCAGCAAGCCUUUAUUUCAAUUAUUGAUCUCAAUCUCAUUUUGCAUUUGUCGUUUUCAGCUAUUUUCUUAAAGAAAGGUUGAUUCUUGCCAGCUGGUAACUGGUCACAUGUUUCCAAUUACAGAUAGGCUUUAUACUAAAAUCGGUACUUUUGCUGACCGGGAACAUGAUAUCUGUUUAAGCCAUUAUCCAUCUUAACAAACAUUUAUGCAGUGCUAAAUAUUGCACCUUUUACAACACCACUCACGUGGUAAAUAAAGGCUUUACUUCCUACAGAAUGUUCUUUUUUUUAAACUCAUGAAUUGUGAUAUGCUGCAUUUAGAUGGAAAUUUAAUUACAAAUACACAGGAACAAGAGUUUAAAACUGUUUAUUCAGUUAAAAAUCAUAGCACGUGCUGCUUUAUUAAAACAUGUUUUUCAUGUCAACGUA
Alligator mississippiensis (American alligator) is the source of this 3725-nucleotide long non-coding RNA. RefSeq lists it as uncharacterized. Lineage: Eukaryota; Metazoa; Chordata; Crocodylia; Alligatoridae. The record is from RefSeq and is a predicted model, not a curated record. The transcript is spliced from 2 exons.